AUUGAACGCUGGCGGCGUGCUUAACACAUGCAAGUCGAUCGGUAACGCGGGGGCAACCCUGGCGACGAGAGGCGGACGGGUGAGGAACGCUUGGGAAUCUGCCCUUCAGCGGGGGACAACACGGGGAAACUCGUGCUAAUACCGCAUACGCUCCACGGAGGAAAGACGGGGACCGCAAGGCCUGUCACCGAAGGAUGAGCCCAAGUCGGAUUAGCUAGUUGGCGGGGUAACGGCCCACCAAGGCGACGAUCCGUAGCUGGUCUGAGAGGACGAUCAGCCACACUGGGACUGAGACACGGCCCAGACUCCUACGGGAGGCAGCAGUGGGGAAUAUUGGACAAUGGGGGAAACCCUGAUCCAGCGACGCCGCGUGGGUGAAGAAGGCCUGCGGGUUGUAAGGCCCUUUCGGUAGGGACGAAAGCUCUCGACCUAACACGUCGGGAGGUUGACUUAACCUACAAAAGAAGCACCGGCUAACUCUGUGCCAGCCGCCGCGGUAA
Molecule: ribosomal RNA, 500 nt
Filed under: uncultured bacterium
Lineage: Bacteria
Description: partial 16S ribosomal RNA
Rfam family: Bacterial small subunit ribosomal RNA
Source: RNAcentral